Molecule: ribosomal RNA, 253 nt
Filed under: uncultured bacterium
Lineage: Bacteria
Description: partial 16S ribosomal RNA
Rfam family: Bacterial small subunit ribosomal RNA
Source: RNAcentral
UACGUAGGGGGCAAGCGUUGUCCGGAUUUAUUGGGCGUAAAGGGCGCGUAGGCGGCCGAUCAAGUCGGGGGUGAAAGCCUGUGGCUCAACCACAGAAUUGCCUUCGAUACUGUUUGGCUUGAGACCGGAAGAGGUAAGUGGAACUGCGAGUGUAGAGGUGAAAUUCGUAGAUAUUCGCAAGAACACCAGUGGCGAAGGCGGCUCACUGGCCCGGUACUGACGCUGAGGUGCGAAAGCGUGGGGAGCAAACAGG